This 369-nucleotide ribosomal RNA is filed under the name Triticum aestivum (bread wheat). RNAcentral describes it as "partial small subunit ribosomal RNA". Lineage: Eukaryota; Viridiplantae; Streptophyta; Magnoliopsida; Poales; Poaceae. The record is from RNAcentral.
AUGAUGUCAAAGGAUUCCAAGUCUUUUUCUGAGGUGGUCGAUGGCUUUCGAGAGAUGCAUUCAUAUCUCACAAGUUUCCAGGGGUUCAAGUUCAUCUAUAUAAGAAGGAAUGCCAAUUUUGUUGCACAUCUGUGUGUGAAAGAGGCACUAAAACUUGAUGUACUUGCUAUUUUUUUUCUUGUAAGGCCUACCUACCUGAUUAAGACUAUUCAAUCACAGUUAUUUUUGCCUGGCAUGCCCUGCACCUCCUCCAUCUUAGUGCCACCGUCACGACCCAGCCUCCAUUUGCUGGUCGCUGCUAGCUGCUGUUGCUGUGUCCUGCCUCGCCCUCUAGCUAAUGUUGGUGCACUACUGUUCAAGUUCAACUAG